Molecule: long non-coding RNA, 871 nt
Organism: Bubalus bubalis (water buffalo)
Lineage: Eukaryota; Metazoa; Chordata; Mammalia; Artiodactyla; Bovidae
Exons: 2
Source: RefSeq, a predicted model, not a curated record
GUCGGACAUGACUGAAGUGACUUAGCAGCAGCAGCAGGGAGGCCAAGAACCCUGGCAGCUCAAGAAAUCUGCGCCUGGGCUUCCUUGACGGUCCAGUGGUUGAGAAUCCACCUGGCAGUGCAAGGGACACAGGAGGAAGAUGCGAUCCCUGAUCUAGAAGGGCCCGCAUGCCGAGGGGCAACUAAAUCCGUGUACCACAACUACUGGGCCCGUGCUCUGAAGCCUGUGAGCCACAGCUACUGAAGCCCGAGCGCCCAGAGCCUGCGCUCCUGAUCAAGAGAAGCCAUUGCGUCGAGAAGCUAGCACACCACAGCUACAGUGUAGCCCCGUUCUCGGCAACGAGAGAGAGGCCAAGCGCAGCAAUGAAGACCCAGCACACCCAAAAGUAAGUAAAUAUAUUUUUUUAAAAAAAGAUUCUCUCUCUACUGGGUAGAAUAGCUCUUUGAUAUCUAAACUAGUGAGGUUUUACGUUUCACACAUCUGUGUUUACUCUUGACCCAGAGCUGAAAUUGUAGAAUUUAAGCCAUAAACGCUCCAUAUGCCUGUGUGUCUAUGUGUCUGUUAUUUCUAAAGACCUUUAUUUCACAUUAUGUGAGAGUGAGAUAUUUUACAUCUGGAUGGUACUAAUAUAUUAAAUUAUAAAGCUUAUUAAAGGAGCUCUGUUCUGAACUGUUUGUAAAGAUAAAGAGGUACAUAAAUUUUCACUUCCCCAAAUUAUCUGAAAACAAAGAAAUAGACAUAUGUGGGAUUUUUUUUUUUUGGCUGCAUUGAAAGGCUUGCAGGAUCUUUGUUCCCCCAACUGGGACCUGGGACUCUUUGCUGCAAUGCUGCAAAACUUGCACUUGGACACAUGCCUCCUAGAGUAACAGAA